RNAcentral lists this transfer RNA (76 nucleotides) under Stereum hirsutum FP-91666 SS1. Its description in RNAcentral is "tRNA-Ala (TGC) (tRNA-Ala-TGC-4-1)". It matches the Rfam family "tRNA". Rfam says of the family: Transfer RNA (tRNA) molecules are approximately 80 nucleotides in length. The record is from RNAcentral. Lineage: Eukaryota; Fungi; Basidiomycota; Agaricomycetes; Russulales; Stereaceae.
AGCUCGGUAGCGCAACGGUAGCGCGUCUGCGUCCACUUGCUAUGGGAAGAUCUCGGUUCGACUCCGAGUCGAGCUA